This 7664-nucleotide long non-coding RNA is filed under the name Brassica napus (rape). RNAcentral's name for it is "long non-coding RNA (BNAP_LNC026196)". Lineage: Eukaryota; Viridiplantae; Streptophyta; Magnoliopsida; Brassicales; Brassicaceae. The record is from RNAcentral.
GUUAACAAAACCGCAGUACCGCGUCCCACAUUGUCCCGAUCACUGUAAAAACAGCUACUGGAAUGACAAACUGAUGUGCAAAACCAAAGUUGGAGAAGGCUCGUCUUGCACUGUUCUUGAUAGGUGCUGCGAUUGGUGGGGGAGGCGGUUUCUCAACUAAAACAUCGAGCUUCAUACCACCGUAACAUCCACCACCGCUACCGCUAAUGAGAUAGUAAUGUCUGGUCACAUUGAGAUGAACAACGUCCCUUCCAGAUCCACGGCUCCAGUUAGCGAUCGGGUUAUCGGCAUUGCAACUUAUGUAGUUGGUCUCGUUCACUUCUAUAACGUUGUAUUGGUUUCUCUCGUACACAAAAUCUGAAAGAAAAAAAAAACAAAUAGAGACACAUGGAUAGAAACUAUAUAAGUCAAACAAGAUACGUGAAAGGAUAAACAUUAAUCUUAGUUUACUAUCCUUUUACUGUAAGAAAACGACUAGGAAAGAAUCUAGUGGUCCUUUUCAGACAAGAUAAGAUUGAUUGUGUUGGACAAGAUCUUACACAAAGUUUUAAGAUGUUGUAACGUAUUAAAAGAGUGUAAGCGACCCAUUUCACAUCAGAUCUAAAUCAUAUAAUGUAGAGUGUGACAAGAAUCAACGUUGAUAGAGAGUGACAGGGAAUAGUACAGAGCCAGUCGUCGAGGUAGAAAUGUUUGUCCUGAGCCCAAAUGGUAUAGUUGAUAUUGGGAUUCCAGAACUUGUUAUCACCCACUAUCCAUCUCUUAGCGGCCACCUCAGUCACCGGAGCUGCCGCAAGAAAAGCCAGAACCACUGCCGCAGCCAUCAACGCAAGUCUAGCCAUCGAUCACUCUAGAAAGAAAAAGAAGAAGCUCAGUGCUUAAUGACUCUCUUAGUCUUAUCUCUCAAGAAAUAGCAGUUUUAUGAAUGAAUGUAUAUGAGCGAGUGGGGCUGUUUCCAAGUCAAAUCAGACAUACAUAUUUCUCGUUUUACGGGGAAAAGAUCUCUCAAGAUCCGUAAUUUCUUCAACUAACGUUUGGAAUCUUAUUACUACUUUAAUCAACCUCGAUGUUGACGAUGAAGUACGCGUUAAUUAAAGGUACGCGUUAUAUAGUUAAGGGAGUAAUUAGAUUUUAAUUGCUGGCAUUAUUAUUAUUUUUCUCUGGUUAGUACAUUAUUCAGUUUUGUAGUAAUAUUUUCUCACCUUUUUGGCGGGAAUUUAUUUCCAUUUUCUUUUUUCAAGGGUUCAGACUUCAGAGAUUCAAUUCCUUUAUUUACAUACGAAAUGAGUAUAUAUAUAUAUAUAUAUAUAUAUAUAUCUUUUGAAUAUUUAAAAUAAAAAUAAAUUACUAUAACAGUGAUACAUAUCAAAAUUUCCAAAACUAUGUGAGUACUUAUAAUAGUUGUACUUCUUAGUAAAAUAACGAGAUAUGUUUAUGGCUCGUCGCAUACAAAAAAGCAGAGCAUAUGUUCCCGCAAUAACAUGCACACGCAACUGAUGGCACGUCGUAACCAUUUCCGCGAACCAACCAAUGGAUAUUGUAAUUCGAUAAGACGACGUCGUGUUUUUGACCACGAAUAUUUCUUAAAUUUCCUUUUAUCUUUUGUUUUUGACGUCAUCACAUUGGUUUAUGUCCACACGAUAUCAGUCAUAAAAUCCACGUAGGAACGACUAUCCAUUACACCCAUCCACGUGUUCUCAUAACAGCUUCUAGUUCCAUUACCUGAACGAACAAUAGAAACAGAGCAUCGAACUGAGAAAGAAGAAGAAGGGAAGCAAGAGAAAUGGCGGCAGCGGUAAGAAUUAGACAAUUGNNNNNNNNNNNNNNNNNNNNNNNNNNNNNNNNNNNNNNNNNNNNNNNNNNNNNNNNNNNAGUGAGUAAUGUGAAGAGACAUGAAACCUUGUCCGUCGUAAUAAAGUUUUAGUUCUUUUGGAUCCCACGGCAGAAUAACUCCUCUCCAUGCCUUUGAUCCUCCUCCACUUGUCAGAAAUUGAAUCCCACUUCACCAAUUCCAAACAAUGAAUUAUUUAGGUUUUGUCUGAAGUAGUAAACAUUUAAACUUAACUAAGACUUUGACUAAUCUAGAUUCAAAUAAAAUUUGUUUAAAACAAAAUGAUUUCGUGUUUUAUUUUUCAUUCAAGAAUGUAAACCAAUACGAUCCCUAUUGAUGAAAAGAAGAAGUAAAUAGAACUUUACCCGUCGGACCCAAUGUGCUGCAAGCAAUGAUCAUGUCCGUUCAUGUACACGUCCACUUUAUUUUCCUUCAAUAGUAAAUAAAAGAAUUACGACAAAAGUACUAAAUAAAUAUCCCCUAUACUAUAUUUGCGAAGUGAUUUUGCCACGUGUCCUUUCUACAAUCAAUUUCACAAAACAAAUAUGACAUGGCUACUGAAAUUGAUGACAUGUCUUAUAGCUUAAUAUGACAUGAGGCUAAAGAUGGAAUUUCUUUAAUCUAUAAUAACAUAUCAUUAUUACUAAUUUAUUGUGGUCCAAUAUGUUCUGAAUUUCACAUUUAAUCUUUUUUAUUAGUACUAUGGAUAAAUAAUUCAACUUGCAUCUUUUAUUUUGUUUGAAAAGUUUGAUUAGAUAACCAGAUUGAUGGUGUUUAAUUUGUAAUAGUCAUCUUAUAUGCCACCAUUUGGUCUCCCUUUUUCUUUGUGUCAACGUGUUGCUAUUUGUACAAUUUUACUUAUGCAUAACCUAAGGUAAUUUUUUAUGGGUAAUUGAAACAUUGAGUAAAGGAUAACCAAAAACUUUACAUGAGUAAACAUAUGAGAUGGUUUCACUUGGUAAAAAUGUCUAGUAUCCCCUAAACUAUAUUUGAGAAGUGAUUUGUAUAUGUGUGUCGUCGCUUGAGAUGAUGUCUCUGAUGGUGUCUGGACAAUGAUCUCUGUCUCAGCUUCCUUCUUUCCUUCCUGCGUUAACAUUUAACCAAAUUACGAAUAAAGAACCGGAGAUUAGAAGCAUCGGUUUACUCCGGUCUAUUUCCAGCUUCAAAACAUAAAAAAAAAAUUAUCAAUGAGGGUAACUUGCUGGAAUACGUACCUGUUGGGUUGGUAACUUGUUGAGAUUCGUAGGCUCUUUGAUUGUUGAUUUCCCUGAUUUCUUGGGUGCCAAGUUAUCUCUUUUCCUUAUACCAACUCUUCUCCUGCAAAAACAAAUAUUUUAACCUCUAAACACACGUAUAUGUAAAAAGUUUGUGAAAAUCGAUAAUGAUUUAAACCUUCGUUGAAGUUCUUCGCGAUACUUAGCAUCCAUUUCUUUGUUAGGAGGGUACUUAGGUAACGUCGAUGGAUCACAAGCGUAAGGCUUUGUGUUAAAAUACUGAAAUAACAGCAAAAAACCACAAAUAAGACCAGAUAGUGUCAGUUUAAAUUUAUUCAUUUCUGUUUAGGUUUUCUUUAAUACCUCUGACAUGAUAGCAGAAGAGGCAGUUCCUCGUUUCUCAGGAUUAGUAGAUAAUAAUUUCUCCAGAAGACUAACUGCUGUUUUUGGAAACUCCUCAAAACUUUCUCUCAGACAACCUUCAUAUUGAUGUUGUGGUCUAAACAUCUUAGUUUGAGAAUGAAGCUUAUUGUUCUUUUCCCAAAAUUCUUCAUCUGGUGGUCCACAGAGUUUAUAAAUCUUGUGAAGUUGUUCAAUCUACAUAAAACAAACAAAUAAAUAUUAUCUCUAUUUGGAAUGAGUAAUUUCUAUAUAUAUAGCUUGGGUCCCUUUCCUCACCUCUGUUCUUCCUUUAAGAAGUGGCCUUCCGGUAAGAAUCUCAGCGAAAACACAUCCCACGCUCCAAAGAUCGAUUGAUACGCUAUAACUCGUGGAACCCAUUAGAAGUUCAGGUGCACGGUACCAUAGCGUCACAACCCGGCUUGUUAACUGAUUCUUGUUUCUUGGCGUUACAAUGUUGGCUAGUCCAAAAUCAGCUAGCUUCAAAACUCCUUUGUUAUUCACCAGAAUGUUUGCGGCUUUGAUGUCUCUGUGCAUUAUCCCUCGUAAAUGACAAUGUUCUACGCCCAACAGAAGCUGCUGCAUGUAGCAUUUGAUCUGAAAAGGAAAUUAGGGUUAUCAGUAAAACAAAACAGAGUUACUUGCGCCAGACGUCAUGUUUUUUUCUCUGUAUGUCUUUCUUACUUGUGCCUCGGUGAAUUUGAUGUCAGGAGAUGAACAUAAGCCUUCGAGAUCAUGUUCCAUGUAAUCGAACACAAAGUACAUGCUAUUUGAAUUCCGUGACGCGAUGAUCCCUUCGAGUUUCAUGAUGUUUGGAUGAUCUAAUCUUCUCAAAAUCAUGAUUUCUCUCGCAAUGAAUCUUAUGUUUUCAGUUUCAAAAUUCUGAACCCUUAUUUUCUUUAGAGCCAUAACUCGUCCCGUCGAUACCUCACAAGCCCGGAACACGUUGCUAUACGUCCCUUGCCCAAUCUAAGAUUUUUUUCAAAAAAAAUGGUAGAAGUUAAUUGUUUACAUCAUAAUAGGGUUGUUUCUUGCAUUACAAGGUAUGUUUAGAGAACCUUCUCUCUUUUCUCGAAGUCCUCUGCGAGUAAUGGGCUCCAUCCGUGAACGGCCUCCGGUGCGGCAGAGCGGAGCCAUGAAGGCCAACCACCCGCCACCUGCUCAGCCUCUACAUUACCAUGCGUCAAUCCCGAUCUCAGGCUAACUCCGGUUGUCCUCGAUCUUGGAGCAUCAUCGUCUUUAUUGCGAUGCUUUUUUGGAGAUGAGUUAACAACACGGCGGUGAGGUGGAGGACUAGGAAGAACAUGAGGUUUGUGGUUGUUUUGGGGAUGACUCCGGUGGACAGCGGUGUCUAAACGGCGGCGGAGAUGGCGUGGAGGACCAGCGGGAGAAGAAUGCUUGGAGUGGAAGCAACCCAUAAUAACGAAAGCUAAUUAUCAAAGGAGAGGUUCCGGGUGGCGUGAGUAUGGACCCGAGUCGGGUAACGGGUCCAACGCAGGGAGGACAAUCCCCGCAUUAGACCAUAAAGAAAUGAAAAAAAAAGUGAGAAAAAUCAAAAACUGAAAGGAAAUUAGGUUUUGCUCAAAAGAAAGGAAAAUAGGUUUGGAUGUAAAAUCGAGAGAGAUAAUUACGGAUAAUAAGACAAUCCCUCCUUAUACAUUGGAAGAGAAAUAGAAAAGAAAAGCUAAUCUUCUUAUCUUUACUAUUUGUCUUUGUAUUAUUUACAAUAGAUUUAUAUAUAUUAUACAAGCACAUUUUAAAACAAAAAAAAAACUAAUAAAUUACUAGAGUUUAAAGGGAAAAGAAAUAUAUGUUACAUUCAUAUUCUCAAACAAUGAUUAGAUACAAAGAAAAUUACACAAUUAAUAGAAAAAGAAACAAAAACUUGUUAGAGCUGGUUUUAAUUUUAUUUUCCUUAGUCAAGCAUGCACAAGUCACAUUACACAUGUUACAAGUCAAUAAGAAGUAGCCUUCAGUAUCACUAACGAAGAUGCGAUCAAGAAGCUAGUGUGAUCAGAGUUCAGUUUGAGUUUUCUUGGUAUGAUCUUCAAAUUCCUUUGGAGUUUGAUACUAGAGAUUGCUAAAAGAGAUGUAGAGAAAGAUGGCGAGAUCUGUGCUCAGACGCAUGGGUUUCAACAUUGAGGAGUCCAUUGAUAAAGUUGAAGAGGUACAAAGAUUGGCUAACAGAUUGUAUAGAGAUGUGUCUCAAAUGAAGGGGGAGAUAUCAAAGCUUGAAGUUGAUUUUGCUGUUGCUGAGAUCAGAUGUAAAUGAUAUGUUUUUUUAUGAGACUAAUCAUGGUGUCCACUGUUUCAGAGGUAGAUGAAUAUAUAUUAAACCCUAAACAAUGUUGUAGCGGCGAGUUUCUCGUAAUAUUUUAAUUUACUAAUAGUGUAGCAAUCAUGUAAUUAAACAUGAAAAUAUCUAUAAAUUAUCUUAUUCAAAAUGAAUAUAUGAGGUAAUCAAUUAAAAUGAUGUAUUGGUUAGACUAAUUAAUAAUCUGUUUAGUUUUCUGUAAAUCAAAAAAAAAAAUAGUUUUAAACUUUGUGCAGUACUAAAAUCACCAUUUUACUUUUGUUUGUAUUAUAUUUCAUACAGACUAGUCUUGUAUUAUAAUAUAGACUAUAUGUUUCAUACAUAUUAGUCUAUGCAUAUUAAUUAAACAUGUGAACUUCAUGCAACUAAAAAUCGACCAAAUAUUUAAAAAUUGCCAAAAAUGAAGAAGAGCAAAGUAGAUUAGUAUGGAAUACAUAAGAACAUGAACAGUUAUGGUACAAUCUUAUGAAAUAAUGGCUCUAGUCUUUAAAGUUCUUAAAAGUAUAUUAUAUAGAUAACAAUUUCCACAUUAUGAAAAAAAAAUUAUACAUAUUUUUAGGAACUGUUUAUAGUUUCCAUAUGACUUGCAUAAGAGUCGAAGAUAAACUGUUUCCAAAACAUCUUUGAAGUCAUGUGAUAACGCGGCCAAAUUGCAACUUAUUAUAUCACCUACAAGACAAACAUCAAAUAUUUGAAAACUAGAUGUUUGUUCAAAAACUUUAAUACUGAAGUUAUAUAUGUUCUCAUCCACAUAUAAUUUCUGUAAAUGUGAAUAAACAACUAUAGAUGUGAAGAAAAACUAUAGAUCUGUUGUUUUUUUUUUGAAACACCCUAUAGAUCUGUUGUUAAGCAGUAGAAUUUGGGGGAAAAACUUUUGGAUAAAUUUUUAAAAUAGCAACUAACAGGUCUUUGGGAAAAACUUUGUCAUGUUCCAACAUCAAAUACAUAUAUUGUCUGACUCAUGGGCCAGAAUAUCGGGGUAUGCACUUAUUGAGUUUAGAAAUAAAUAAUAUUUUAUCAUAUAGUUGUGUAUAGAUGCAGGGCCGGGCCGGGCCUGAAAAAUAUUGGUCCACAAGCAAAAAAAUAUUUUUGGCCCUUUUAUUUCAUAAAAACAGUGAAAAUAUUGAAAAAACAGUUAGGAGAUUCGAUCCCGGGUCCAUAUCCGCACUGAGAGUAAAGUUACUAGUAGAGCUACAUGAUGUCUUUGUUUACUAUUGGCCCUUAAAACAUAUAUAUUUUUUUCGGGCCCCAAACACAUGCUUGAUGGGCUUCUAUUCAGGCCCGGCCCUAGAUGUCAUUGACAUGUUACAUCAUAUAAAGUGUAAUAGUGACAACUACCAUUACAAUGGUUCCAAACUGAAAGACCUAUAUACAAAUCAAAGCCCAAAAUAUAGGUCCAAUAAAGUUUUUUCUUUUCAUAUAAAGCAAAUUACACUUAUCUUUCAGGUUUCAACAAUUGAUUUCCCACCAACAAAAGCAUAGCAUGAACAAUCUCCCAAGGCACAGACACACUGACACAACGAAUGACUGAAGAUCCAAGAAACCAACAUAAUAGAGAGUAACGAACACUACGAGCUACGGAGGAAGGAGUUUCACUUUGCUAAGAAUCUAAACAAUCGUUUUUUUCUCAUAAAAAGAAGUCAAGACUCGUUAACAAAACCGCAGUACCGCGUCCCACAUUGUCCCGAUCACUGUAAAAACAGCUACUGGAAUGACAAACUGAUGUGCAAAACCAAAGUUGGAGAAGGCUCGUCUUGCACUGUUCUUGAUAGGUGCUGCGAUUGGUGGGGGAGGCGGUUUCUCAACUAAAACAUCGAGCUUCAUACCACCGUAACAUCCACCACCGCUACCGCUAAUGAGAUAGUAAUGUCUGGUCACAUUGAGAUGAACAACGUCCCUUCCAGAUCCA